Long non-coding RNA from Cuculus canorus (common cuckoo), 818 nucleotides. RefSeq lists it as uncharacterized. The transcript has 5 exons. NCBI's taxonomy places the organism in Eukaryota, Metazoa, Chordata, Aves, Cuculiformes, Cuculidae. The record is from RefSeq and is a predicted model, not a curated record.
CUGAGUAAACAAGAUGAGCGCAUUUGCAGAAGCUGGCUGAGUGCUCUACAGAAAUUGGCAGUCACUGCUCAGGACCAAGCCCAGGCAGAGGAUGUGAAGGGCUUGGAAACAAGGGACUAAGAAGUAAUUUUGGCUUAUUUGACAUAAUACCUUAGCAACAAGCCGUUCUGUCACAGAAGGAAAGAAGCUCUAUUUUAGCAUAGUCAUUAUCUCAAAUGAAGAAUAUAAGAAAAGGUAUUUGAAGCUGGGUUCUCACAAGGGAUUUUAUUUGGAACUGUAGGUGAAGGAUGAGAAGGUCUAUGAGUCCCUGCCAUAAAUGUUUGAACAGAUGAUGACGGUGGGUUUUCCUCUCCCAGGAGGUUCCUCCUGUCAGUGGAAUUUGCAAAGGUGCGAGCCAUACUACCAAAUGCAAGAAUUUAAAGAUUGUGGAAGAUUUGAGGCUUUCAAAACUCACUUGGCAAACCCCUGGAAAACUGCAAGCUUUCCUAGUUUAAUGGUGUACAGACCUCUGUCUCCUCACCAACCCCCCAAUAUUUUACGACAUCCAGGAUUCGUGAGAUCACAUGUGUUUUCCCCAAAGCUGAUGAAUUACAGGUUACCUCUCUGAGCUGGGGACCAGAAGGGAAGAACUGAACAGAUCCAAGUGGCACAAAAAGGUUAUUUGGUCGUUAAGGCUAUUGGACUCCCAGUCCUCGCAAACUGUCUGUAUGGGCUAGUGCUGUUUGUGACACGACAUGCUGUCCUAGUCUCCCAUCAUCCACAGUCCUCCUGGACGGCAUUUCUUCAUUUUCCUUUUAUGGCAGCCAGGACAGGAAGGU